CCUACGGGAGGCAGCAGUGGGGAAUAUUGGACAAUGGGGGGAACCCUGAUCCAGCCAUGCCGCGUGUGUGAAGAAGGCCCUCGGGUUGUAAAGCACUUUCAGUGAGGAAGAACGCCUGGUGGUUAAUACCCAUCAGGAAAGACAUCACUCACAGAAGAAGCACCGGCUAACUCCGUGCCAGCAGCCGCGGUAAUACGGAGGGUGCGAGCGUUAAUCGGAAUUACUGGGCGUAAAGCGCGCGUAGGUGGCUUGAUAAGCCGGUUGUGAAAGCCCCGGGCUCAACCUGGGAACGGCAUCCGGAACUGUCAAGCUAGAGUGCAGGAGAGGAAGGUAGAAUUCCCGGUGUAGCGGUGAAAUGCGUAGAGAUCGGGAGGAAUACCAGUGGCGAAGGCGGCCUUCUGGACUGACACUGACACUGAGGUGCGAAAGCGUGGGUAGCAAACAGGAUUAAAUACCCGAGUAGUC
RNAcentral lists this ribosomal RNA (465 nucleotides) under Vreelandella stevensii. RNAcentral's name for it is "partial 16S ribosomal RNA". It matches the Rfam family "Bacterial small subunit ribosomal RNA", at positions 338 to 795 of the family's 1533-position model. The record is from RNAcentral. Lineage: Bacteria; Pseudomonadati; Pseudomonadota; Gammaproteobacteria; Oceanospirillales; Halomonadaceae.